This 63-nucleotide transfer RNA is filed under the name Pholoe pallida. Its description in RNAcentral is "tRNA-Arg". Lineage: Eukaryota; Metazoa; Annelida; Polychaeta; Phyllodocida; Pholoidae. The record is from RNAcentral.
AAGUUUGUACUUUUAAAGACUAUGGUUUCGGCCCAUAACACUGAGCUAACGCUCACAAACUUU